AGAGUUUGAUCCUGGCUCAGGAUGAACGCUGGCGGCGCGCCUAACACAUGCAAGUCGAACGGACGAUGAAGAGCUUGCUUUUCAAAGUUAGUGGCGGACGGGUGAGUAACGCGUGGGUAACCUGCCUCAUACAGGGGAAUAGCAGCUGGAAACGGCUGAUAAACCGCAUAAGCGCACAGUGCCGCAUGGCACAGUGUGAAAAACUCCGGUGGUAUGAGAUGGACCCGCGUCUGAUUAGCUGGUUGGCGGGGUAACGGCCACCAGGCGACGAUCAGUAGCCGGCCUGAGAGGGUGAUCGGCCACAUUGGGACUGAGACACGGCCCAACUCCGUACGGAGGCA
RNAcentral lists this ribosomal RNA (341 nucleotides) under uncultured bacterium. Its description in RNAcentral is "bacterial SSU rRNA". It matches the Rfam family "Bacterial small subunit ribosomal RNA", at positions 8 to 350 of the family's 1533-position model. The record is from RNAcentral.